AAUGAUCCUUCCGUAGGGGAACCUGCGGAGGGAUCAUUACACAAUAAACGCUUUUUUAUGCAGUUGCAAUCAGCGUCAGUACAACAAAUGUAAAUCAUUUACAACUUUCAACAACGGAUCUCUUGGUUCUGGCAUCGAUGAAGAACGCAGCGAAAUGCGAUACGUAGUGUGAAUUGCAGAAUUCAGUGAAUCAUCGAAUCUUUGAACGCACAUUGCGCCCUUUGGUAUUCCAAAGGGCAUGCCUGUUCGAGCGUCAUUUGUACCCUCAAGCUUUGCUUGGUGUUGGGCGUUUUGUCUUUGGUUGCCAAAGACUCGCCUUAAAACGAUUGGCAGCCGGCCUACUGGUUUCGCAGCGCAGCACAUUUUUGCGCUUGCAAUCAGCAAAAGAGGACGGCACUCCAUCAAGACUCUUUAUCACUUUGACCUCGGAUCAGGUAGGAUACCCGCUGAACUUAAGCAUAUCAAUAAGCCGGAGGAA
RNAcentral lists this ribosomal RNA (478 nucleotides) under Curvularia affinis. Its description in RNAcentral is "eukaryotic LSU rRNA". The stretch from base 103 to 256 matches the Rfam family "5.8S ribosomal RNA". Lineage: Eukaryota; Fungi; Ascomycota; Dothideomycetes; Pleosporales; Pleosporaceae. The record is from RNAcentral.